UGACUAAGCGUACACGGUGGAUGCCUUGGCAGUUGGAGGCGAUGAAGGACGUAUUAACUUGCGAUAAGCCUAGUCAAGCUAGUAAAAAGCACUUGAGACUAGGAUUUCCGAAUGGGGAAACCCACCUGCUUGCAGGUAUCGUUAACUGAAUACAUAGGUUAACGAGGCGAACGCGGAGAACUGAAACAUCUAAGUACCCGUAGGAAAAGAAAUCAACCGAGAUUCCGAUAGUAGCGGCGAGCGAAAUCGGAUUAGCCCAAACCAGUAU
This 268-nucleotide ribosomal RNA is filed under the name uncultured eukaryote. RNAcentral describes it as "partial Bacterial large subunit ribosomal RNA". It matches the Rfam family "Bacterial large subunit ribosomal RNA", at positions 1 to 280 of the family's 2925-position model. The record is from RNAcentral.